RNAcentral lists this long non-coding RNA (8406 nucleotides) under Sorghum bicolor (sorghum). RNAcentral's name for it is "long non-coding RNA (SBIC_LNC005710)". Lineage: Eukaryota; Viridiplantae; Streptophyta; Magnoliopsida; Poales; Poaceae. The record is from RNAcentral.
UCCAGUCCUCCGUCCUGGGCCCCGGCCCCUCCGUGGCCUUUUCCCCUCGGCCCCUCCGUCGCCUCCGCGGUUCCGCUCGCGGCCGCAUAGUAGUCAGGUCAUCUCACGCCCUCAUCUCCUCCACGCCGAUGCCUGUCCUCUUUCAGCAGAUACGUUGAGGAAAUUAGAGCGCCGUCCUCUGGUUCGUCGCCUCUUUUGCCUCCUUCUGCCGCGGCGGCACAAUCGGCAGCUACCCCUACCAUCUACCACGGGGAUGGUUCCUUGGUUAUGAGCGUCGAGGUGUUGGGAGAUAUCCCAAAGUAUAUAUGUUAAGGUAUGCACACGACGUAUUAUAGUUUAAGUAUUGUUUCAUCUUUGCAGUUACAUGGUAGCAGAUGUUAGCCAGACUUGAAAUAAAAUUUCCUUUUGCUAUCUCUAUAGAGCCAGACCAAUAUUUCACGGCUGUAUGUGUAUGUGCAUAGCCUUAAAUACCAACACAUGUUCAGAUUUCUAAAUGUUAAUAUUCCCUCCAGUUCGAAUUAAGCUUCGGCCUAGCUACUACUUUCUUUCCAUGCAGUCAUCACCAAGUUAAGGCUAUCAGAUUUAAUCCUCUUGCUAUAUGGAGAACACCUUCGUCAUUCAUGUUGUCUUUACAUGGUUGCAGAAAGACAAAAUUUAUACUCGUAAUAUUGUUCCCCUGCAGUGGUGGUAGUAUUUAAAGUCUUUUUUAUUGAUAACCUCACGUAAAUGUUGUCUAGGUCCUACAUCUAUCGAGUUAGUUUCCAUUAUAAGGGUUGCAAGCUUCCAUAUUCUUCUAGUGUUUCUCAUUCUGCUAGACCCUUUAAUCUUAUUCACUCAGAUGUAUAGGGUCCUGCACCUUUUGCUACAAAGCUUGGUUAUACGUACAUAUUAUGUAAUUUUCAUUGAUGAUCAUUCCCGUUAUACUUGGAGUUGUGCUCUAUUUAUCAGUCUUUUGCGCACAUGGUUCAGACUCAGUUCUCUACUCCUAUUAGAGUUUUUCGCUCUAACUCUAGUGGUGAGUAUUUCUCUGAUAUUUUCCACCAAUUUUUGGCCUCUGAGGGCACCCUUGCUCAACUUUCUUGUCCCAGUGCCCAUGCUCAAAAUAGUGUUGUUGAACGCAAACACCACCAUCUCAUUGAAACUACUAGAACAUUUCUCAUUUCCUUAUUUGUUCCAUCUUAUUUUUGGGGCGAAGCUGUUUCUACUGCUGUCUAUCUCAUCAAUAGACAACCCUCAUCCAAACUUUUUGGCAAAUCUCCUGGUGAAGUUAUUAUUCCUCCAAACUAUGAUCAUCUUCGAGUCUUCAUGUACAUGCUAUGUUUUGCUUCCUCUAUAAUACCCGAUUUUGAGAACAAAACCAGAUAUACACCAUAUAUGAGUCUUAGAAUCCAAAUCUCAUACAUAGCUACAAAUGAGGUGUAAUAUCAAAAAACAAUGCAUAAAUUACAUAACGUACUUAGUAUAUCAGAGAUAACCUUUGAUAGCAAACAACGGAAGAUAACUCCAAACUUUGGGUAUUAACUCUACUCUACAGGAUUCAAACUAACUGGUUGAUCACAAGCCCAAAACUUUUCCUGAAGGGUGUGGGAGAAUAGCAAGAGUGAGUCCAUAUCGAACUCCACAAGUAUAGCAACUAGAUUGUAUAGAUCCCACAAUCUCAUGAUCAAUGUGACAUAAAUAAUGUAGAGCAAUAAACAAUAAACAAUGAGUAUAUAUCUUAACACAACAAGAAUCAUCAUCUUUAAUGUAAGAAUCCCCAAGGCCGCUCGUGACCAUGAGCACGGCUAGUAUGCCAGUUUAAUAAACACUCUGCAGAGGCUGUAUAUCUUUACCCAUGAGUCAUGAUUUACCCUUUCGCCCGAGGUGAUCAGCCUCUUAACCCACUACCAAGGAAGGUCGACAGGGAUCACUAUGAAGUCUUUCAAAUGUUCGUCUAACAAGUUAGGACCGCUAGGUUUCAUUAGUCACUUCGUGUGAUUCUACCACGCAGGGAUCCACGUUCUGUUGUCUCCCAUUUGCGCCACGCAGGUAACCUCUAACAAGCUAGAAAAGUUACUCAUACUUGACUAAAGCCAGAGCCAUUAUAGCCCUCAUGGUUGCACUUCAAUCCCGGUUAUCACUUACAGACAAAUCCUUAAGUUGCUAAGAAGUCAUUUUUAUCAUUUAUUGCUUAAACAUUAAUCAAGUCACAAGAUCAUGGUCACAGAAAAGAAAUCCAGAUGCUAUACUUGCCUUAAACUCAUAUCAUUCUUCAAGUCCAAACUUUCAAAGAAUUGUUUCUUGAUUUUCAUCUUCUUCUAGAUCACCAACGCAAAACUCAUCGGCUGGACAUAAUCAUAUAACAUCACACAAGCAUCUAUGCAAUCAUACAUGCAUGAAACAAACAAUAGAACUAAAUUAGAACAAAUACCAAAUAAUAAAAUAGUUUGAAAACUAAUCUACACACAAACAUCAACGUUAGCAUAUUUUAGAUUAUAAAAUUUAGAAAUAUUUAGCAUGUCACUUCUAACAUUUAAAAUACGCUGACCCCAAACUAACGCCAAUUAAAUCAAAGCUAAGAUAAUGAAACUUAUGAGUUUUGAAGCUACAGCUGAUUAAAGAAAAUACCAUACGGUAAAUAGAAUGGACUAUAUAGGCAAAAACAUGAAGCAUAGAUGUGCUGUUAGUACACGUACCGUAGUGAAAUUUUAGUCAUGAAUGGGUUGGGAGCAUGCACGUGUGCGUGCAGUGCGAUGUGAUGAGCAGCAUAGUAUGAAUCAACGAACAUCUUGUUUGGUAACACUCGACACUACUGGAUCCGCCUUCUUUGCCGAGAGUCGGGAGCCCUCGGCAAAGGCCUAAAAGCCUUCGGCAAAGGCUUUGCCGAGAGCCUGCCACGUGGCUCUCGGCAAAGAAGCUUUCGGCAAAGAAUUCUUUGCCGAGAGCCACGUGGCAGGCUCUCGGAAGACUUUGCCGAAGGCCAGAAGCGCCCUCGGCAAAACCCACAGUCGUCGAGGAACGUCAAUACUAACGUCGUCUUUGCCGAUAGCCGUGCUGGCAGGCUCUCGGCAAAGACUUUUUAUUUUUUUUUAAAAAAAAGUCUUUGCCGAGAGCCUGGCUGGCUGGCUCUCGGCAAAGGGGUCUUUGCCGAGAGCCAUACCGGCAAGCUCUCGGCAAAGACUUUUUUUUUUAAAAAAAAAUGUCUUUGCCGAGAGCCUGUCUGGCUGGCUCUCGGCAAAGGGAGUCUUUGCCGAGAGCCAUACAGGCAGGCUCUCGGCAAAGACUUUUUAUUUUUUUAAAAAAAUUAUCAGAAUUUUGAUGACACUGAUUAGAAUUUAUCAGAAUUUUAAAAAGGAAAAGGUUGCUGCUGCUGUUUUUGUUACAAGAUUAAUCACGAAAUAUCUACAUCCAAGAGCCAAUGGACCUAAUAAGAUCAUUAUCAUAAGCACUACCAAGCAUAAGAUCAGCAACAGCAUCACUGGUUGGUUUACCUGCAUAAUCUCUAUUAUACAAAGUAAUGACAACCAAAUUAGAAUGAUGUUGGUGUAUCCAAAGUAUCAGGUAUAGCAAAUGUAAUGAAUUUCUAAACAUCCUCAGGUUAAUUCACAAACUGGUAAUCAGUUAUUAUGGAGGCAUUUCUGAACCAUAAUGCAUAAGCAAGCUGCUAAGGAAGCUAGUAGUAAAUGAAGCAUCAUGUAUAAACAAGAUCUAAGAAUUAUGGAUAACACCUCCUAAGGUGACUAAACUAUAGGAAAUGAAGUGCAAACAAAAAAAGCAAAUGGACCAAUGGAUAGAGAGAAAGAAAACUGCAUUUUCAUUUGACAACUUCCCUUGGUGUUCUUCAUCAACAUCCAUCCCACUCUUGUUCCCAUCAUCUGGUUUUGGGACUGAAUCUUUCUCUGCAGCUUCUUUACCUUCCACCUGAACAUUUUCUUUCUGGUUAGACUUUUUCCGCUUCUUUUUGGCCUUUUUCUCAUUAUCAUUCUUCACUGUUUCUACAGCACCAUUCUUUUCCUUGGCGCCAUCAGCCUGAGCAGGUGCAUUUUCUGCAUCAGUCUUCUCUGAAGUCUAGCUCAUAAUCAUUGGCUGGCGUGACGAUUACAACCAUAUCAACUAUUGUGGCCCCCUUUGAUAGCAAUAAAAGCAUAUGUUAGAAUUUGCCUGUUGUCUAUUUGCAAACAAAGUUCGCAUUGACUUAAGAAUAUCAUGGCAACAAAUUGCAGUGCAGCGGCACAUGAUAAAAAAAUGCAUACCAUAAUUUCAUGAAAAUACAUCCAGCAAAUCAUCAAUCCAUGAAAAUACCCAAAAUUUUGAGGCCUCCAAAACUUUCAGAUGGGACAGAAGAAAUACCGUGAGAAGCAUUGCAGUCUCAGCUCCUUGAUUGUCUUUAAAAGUAAUGUAGGCAACCUGAGAAAGCUCAUCGCCACUGCACAACACUAUAUAAAAAGACAUCAACGACAUGUCCCCAAGUUUUGUUAUUUUUGAAAUUCAUUUAAAAUUUAUAUAAUUAAAAAUCACAUCAACGACACAUGGAUGGUUAUGUUUCGUAUAAAAGACAUUCAAAUUUUUGGGUGAGUUUAUGGAUAUAGCCUCAAAAUGCACUCUCAAAUAUGAGUAUCAUUUUUCGAAUGGCUAUAUUUUAUUAUUUCAUACACCUGCAGUUCAAAUUUACUUUUUCAAAAAAAUGCAAAGAAAAUAAAUUAAUUUAUGAAAUAUAGCAAAAUGUUAUAAAAAGCUCCCAAAUUUAAACAUGUGCUUGUAUAUAAUAUGCAAAGGCUAUAGAAAAAGUCUAGGUCUAAAAUUUUUAAAAAAAACCUUCACUCUUUGCCGAGGGCAAAUGCAAGCCCAGUCGUUGCCCUCGGCAAAGGCCACCUCUUUGCCGAGAGCCUAAUGACGUGGCUCUCGGCAAAGGUGACGACUACGGCCGCCGUUCACGGCGCGGUACCUUUGCCGAGAGUUUGCCUUUGCCGAGAGCUAAGCUUUCGGCAAAGCUGACCUUUGCCUAGAGCCCCUCUUUGCCGAGAGCCUGACCGUCGGCAAAGGCUCUUUGCCGAGAGGAUGACCUGGCUCUCGGCAAAGGCAGUCUUUGCCGAGGGUCUGGCUCUCGGCAAAGCCAGGCUCUAGGCAAAGCUCGCGUUUCGUGUAGUGCGAUCUUGAGCUAGCCAGAGCAAGAUGGAACUCGUGGUGCUAAUUCUGCCUUCCUUCGAUCGCGACGAUGGAUGUUCCCAAGCAGACUUAGCCAUGGGAGGCGAUAGCACGUCUAUAGACAACCAUGAAGAAUGGUGUCGAUCGAGUUGUAUCUCUAUAGCCUGAAUAAUUAAUAGUAAAUCUUCUGGUAUUAACCACUGUGUGCAUGUAGCAAACGAUCUUCAAAUCUGAAAUUUGACACCACGCAUAGCAAGCUGCAGCCUUGGUUCACGGGCGUAGCAAAUUCACCAAUCGAUUUCCGCCUCCAAGCCACAAGCGCCAAGGUUCUGCAACUUGCUGCCCUCAAGUCGCGUGCAACAGCAGACAACUCCAUGCCGACCAUGCCUGAACAGCGGAAGCCCAGCAGCAGAAGGAGCAGGUUUUGUAGAUUGGGCCGUGUUUAGUUCCUAGAAAAUUUUGCAAAAUUUUUUAGAUUUUUUGUCACAUCGAAUCUUUAGACGCAUGCAUGAAGUAUUAAAUAUAGACAAAAAUAAAAACUAAUUGUACAGUUUGAUCGAAAUUGACGAGACGAAUCUUUUAACCUAGUUAGUCCAUGAUUGGACAAUAUUUGUCAAAUACAAACGAAAGUGUCACUAUUUAUAUUUUGCAAAAAAAAAUUUAGAAGUAAACAAGGCCUUGUUUUCUCCGGCUCGAAAUCGACUGCGCCUCUGUCCGGUACUUUAGAAGCUUUGACUUGGACUCGGCGGCGUUGCACCAACAAAUGAAAAAAAAAGGAUUUCCAUCCUCGAUUCUGCCAUAACAGAGGCAGCGCGAAGGCACUGAUCAGACAGCAUGGUUUGACAACAGAGCAACGGCAAAUAACGAAUUCCGACGGCGGCGGUGGUUGAUGAAUACAGUAGAGAAUAAAACCCUAGUUUUUUUUAAUCUCAUGUCUGGCUCUUUAUUUAUAGGAGUUAUUUCAUAUGGGUGUUGAGCAUUAAAAAUAGAAAUUUUAUUAUUUUCGAAAUUAAUUAAUUUCAUAGAUAAAAUAAUAUCAGAAAAAUCUAGAAUGAUUAUUUAAUCCGCAGAAAGAAUACUCCAAAAGCUCCAAAAAUUUAGAGAAAAUUAUCAAAGACAUUAUGGAAAAUGAGAAACACAUGUAAAGUAAGAGCUCAUGAUGAGAUAAUUUGGAGCAUCUAAAAAUUAGAUUAUGCUCACAGAUAAGUGGGAACAAGUUCUAGAAAAAAUGCUGAAAUAAUUUUCGGUAAGUUUUUUAGAGAUUGAUUGAUGGAUGAGGAACUGAAAGAAGUGAUUUGAGUGACAAAGAAAAUAUUUUUGGGAAUCUUCCAAUGAAAACUUGAGAAACAAGGACUUUAACUAUAGGAAAAGAUAAAGGCGUGCCGGAGAAAGAAGACUGACCUACUAAACGCAUUUUAAACAUUUUUCUCACUCUCAACACACAAAGAAGCAACAAGCAAACAUCAACUCAUAUGCAUCAACAUGUAUGCACAAUAAUGUUACUAAGCCUUAAGAUAAAUUUUAAUUUAAUAAAAAAUAUUAUUUUUCCAAUAUUUUCAUGACCACAAAAUUACAUAAUUAAAUCAUUUUAGACCUAUUUCAAAAGAUGCAAAUUUUAGGGUGUUACAUCCUCCUUGUUAGCAGAUUGAGUUGACCGCUCAAUCUGUUGAGUGUGUUUUUCUAGGGUAUAGUCCUAAGCAUAAGUUUUAUCGGUGUUAUGACCCUACCUCUCAUCGUAUAUGUAUCUCCCAUGAUGUUAGUUUUAUUGAGGAUCGCUCUUUCUUUUACAACCCAUCUACUAAACCUUUAUACCGGCCAUCGUCGAGGUUACACUACUCCCUCCAUCCUAAGUUAUAAGUUAUUUUAACUUUCUUGGAGAGUCAAAAUAUCUCAAGUUUGAUUAAAAUUUACAUAUAUUAAAAUAAUAACACUUAUGAUAAUAAAUAUUUAGCAUUUGAAUCUUCAUUAAUUAUAUUUUCACGAUAUUCCUAUUUGAUAUCAUAAAUCUUUGUAAUUUUCUAUAUAAUUUUGGUCAAAAUUUGAGAUGCUUUGACUCUUCAAGAAAGUUGGAAUACCUUAUAAUUUGGAAUGGAGGAAGAAACAUUUAUCUACACCAUCAUAAGGCGUAUGUUCUAGUGGUUAUUAAUUAGGGAUCUAAAUUUGUACAACCAUCAAAAUAUGUGAUGACCAUGAGGAGACGUUUUAGGCCGGUGGCCAUUGAAUUAGCAGAGUCCAAAGCAUACCAACUUCUCACAUCAGCAACAGAUGAGCCAAAUGAAGAACACACGAACCGCACGGUACACAUAUAAUGAUAUAGCAUGACUACAUGAGACCAAACCAACGAAAUCAAUUUUUUCUCUUGGAAAAUGUGUUGCGGGGACAGAGUGACACGCAUGACUACAGAAUACUGAAAAAGUGUAACACACAACCAACCGACCCUAGCUGAUUAGCAACUUCGCUCAUACAUUAUUCGAGAAAGAAAAAACUUCCCUCAUACAGGGGAACAUAACAGAGAACAAAACAAUUAUAGGACGUGCAUCCUUAUUCUUUUUUAUUAGGUAACGCGCCUCCUUAUUCAAAGCUAAAUCAUGACUCAGCAUUGUCACGACACAGAUGCAGGGACCAGGGGCAACGCAAAUUAAAAUCAGGCAUAGAGGCACUCAACAACCGGAUGUGGCGUCAAGGCAGACCCAUUGGCCGAUAAAGAGGUUGUCGCAGCAGAUGUUGGGGUUGAAGCUGAGGAAGUUGUCCAGGGUCAGACCCACGCCCUGCGCCAAGCAAUAGCAUGUCUCGCCCUCCUGCACCCCGUGCACCUUGUUGCAAGUCAGCUCUGACUUCGGCUCAGGCUCAGGCUCAGGCUUCGGCUCUGGUUUUGGCUCCUCACAGUGGUCGUCGCAGGUUGGCGGCUCCGGCUCUGGUUCACAUUUGUCGUCGUCACAAGUUGGCUUCGGCUCCGACAUCUCCGGUGAUGCAGCAUCUGCCAUGUAACAUGUGGUAUUUCAUUCAUUUGGCACACAUGCUUAUCAUACGGUCCGAAAAUGAUGCACAAAGAUGCGUUUCAUGCCGGAUGAUUGCUUGGACGACAGGUUAUAGCAUGUAGCUGCAUACCUUGUCCAUGCGCGUCAUGGUGGAGGGCUGUUGUCUUAUUGGGACCCUCGGUGGGCUUUGCGGCGGCGGCCCUAGAGAUGGCGACCACCAUGAAGAGGGACAUGAUUAGGAGGAUGACAGCAGCGGCACGAGGGUUUGCCAUUGUGAGUGCUGCCACUUGAACCGUGCAAGCAG